Lupinus angustifolius (narrow-leaved blue lupine) is the source of this 134-nucleotide small nucleolar RNA. It matches the Rfam family "Small nucleolar RNA Z247". From Rfam's summary of the family: Z247 is a member of the C/D class of snoRNA which contain the C (UGAUGA) and D (CUGA) box motifs. Most of the members of the box C/D family function in directing site-specific 2'-O-methylation of substrate RNAs. Lineage: Eukaryota; Viridiplantae; Streptophyta; Magnoliopsida; Fabales; Fabaceae. The record is from Rfam.
AGUUUCAACUUAUGAUCUGAUCAUUCAAACUCUAAAUGGCCUAGAUUCUGAAUAUGAUCCUGUAGUUGUAAAACUGUCUGAUCAAAUUGCACUUAGUUGGGUGGAUUUACAAGCUCAAUUGCUAACAUUUGAAA